RNAcentral lists this unclassified non-coding RNA (214 nucleotides) under Glomus sp. Its description in RNAcentral is "partial contains 5.8S ribosomal RNA and internal transcribed spacer 2". The stretch from base 1 to 71 matches the Rfam family "5.8S ribosomal RNA", at positions 84 to 154 of the family's 154-position model. Lineage: Eukaryota; Fungi; Glomeromycota; Glomeromycetes; Glomerales; Glomeraceae. The record is from RNAcentral.
GUGAAUCAUCAAAUUUUUGAACGCAAAUUGCACUUUCUGGUAUUCCGGAAAGUAUGCCUGUUUGAGGGUCAGUUAAAUAAAAAUCGGGGUUGUUUCUGCCUUUCGGUGUUACGCGACGGAAUUUGGUCGUCUUACCCUCGGGUUAGGUACUUAAAAUUUUUGCAUGAUUUUCUAACGUAGUUAUUUCGCUUACUUACGUUUGAUAUAUCGAAUG